AUUCCCCUCCCAUAGCACAGUGCUGCUUCCUGAAGCUAACCUGCCUUUGGCUUAGCAGCAGCUCCUGGAAAGCUCUUGUUGCUCAGCUUUGGUCCUGAGCUCUUGCUUUAGUGCAAGGAUUGCAAGCAAAGGCACUUCAGCAGAGAGGUAAAUGCUUUGCAGCGCUGGUUUCUCGGACAACCCCGAAAUGAGCUGACGGGCACGGCGCAGGCUGGGCUGGCUGCCUGGGAGGCAGAGUGCAGGAGAGCCUCGGAGAGCGGCGAGGAGGAAGAGAAGGAGGAAAAGGACACCAGGAGAAAGAGGACGGGACCAGCUCUGUGCUGCUCCUCGCGUGCUGGCAGCAGGCAUCUGCAGUGAUGGGGACACGAGGACGGUGCCAUACAGGAGAAUUCAUUUUUCCCUCUCUUGUCCCAUGGGGGCACGUAUGCUACCAGCUGGACACGCUGCAUCCCGCGGGCUGUGUUUGCAGAAACACUCUGAUCUCUCAUUUUUAAGCCCCGCGUUUCAAUUCCCCUCUGAGCGAAGGUAAACGGUAGGGAUGCUGCUUCGGUGGAUUCAAGGUUUCAAGUCAAACAGCAGUCAUUUAACCACUCUUUUAAAGUUCAUAUCAUUUGAAUGUCAUAUGUCAAACUAAUGCUACUUCCAGUGAAGGCAAAUAGAUAUUUAUUCCCCUCUCAGCUGUCCAGUGGUCUGACAUUCAUUAUUGAAACAUUGCAGCUGCCAGGGAUUGAAAUUACCUGUAGGAGUACAUCGAGCAAAGCCUUCCACCUCUUUAAGGGUUAUUCCCUGUAACACGUUUUAGUUCAGGCUCAUUUUACAGCUGCUCUUGGUCUGCAGUUGCUUUUUCCUAUGUCUCUACAAGGUCAGGCAUAGGCUUUUUGACCAUUUCCUCCAAGACGAUGUUGUAACUUCAUUUUUCAGAGCUUGUCUUUGGCUCGGACUUGUGGUCACUGCACCUCGGUGCAGCUCCAGUCCCUGAGGGGCUAGAACUGAAAAUUCACCUCCUGGGGAGUCCCAGGCAGGGGGUAUUUUUUAUUUGUUUAUUUAUUUCAUGCAUUAUUUUGCAUGAAAUAGCCGACAUUUUGUAGCUCAUUGGGCACUGAAAUACUCAGUUGGCCGCAAGCGAGUUCAGGGACAGAAGGAAAGACAAUGGAGAUGACUAGAUUAGUUUGCAUUUAGACAUUGCCCUGAACUUCACAGAGCAAUUUACACCUGUACGAGGGUCUGUGGAGUUAUAUUGAAUCAGACCAGGAGCAUUUUACAGCCACUUUGCAUGAGCAUAAAUGAUAGCAUAAGGUGCAAAGGAAACAGCCAGCCGGACAAUUACAUAGCAUCUUCACACGCCUUAUUAAUCCUCAUUACAUUACCCUCUGUGCUGAGACUCAGCAUCUUCCCUUCCCCGCGAAGGGAAGGACAGGUGAGGCUGUGGAGCCAAUUUAGCCACCUGCCAAAUGUGCAGCCUCUGGCUGCUGGUAGCUUCACUCCUUGGGCCUGGAGAGCUGGUUGCCCCC
This is a long non-coding RNA of Oxyura jamaicensis (ruddy duck), 1511 nucleotides long. RefSeq lists it as uncharacterized. Lineage: Eukaryota; Metazoa; Chordata; Aves; Anseriformes; Anatidae. The transcript has 4 exons. The record is from RefSeq and is a predicted model, not a curated record.